Molecule: long non-coding RNA, 1109 nt
Organism: Pseudophryne corroboree (corroboree frog)
Lineage: Eukaryota; Metazoa; Chordata; Amphibia; Anura; Myobatrachidae
Exons: 3
Source: RefSeq, a predicted model, not a curated record
UUCCCUGAGAUAAGAACAUACCCGAACUAAGGAGUCCUGAGAUGAAUCGAGUCCCAGUUCGGAAUCACUUUGUGGUUCCAAGUGGAUCCAAGUCCUGGCUCGGGAAUCCAGGAAUUUCAGGAAUUUUGAAAUUGAGAAUGUUCACUGUUUGAGGGAGGAGAGUUUAGCUGCCUCAGCAAGCUUUACACGCAACAUCCUGGACAAAGGACAAGACCUGCAAGAUCCAACGCGUGGAUGAUGAUGUUUUGGUUUUUAUUUGGAAUCAGAGUUUGGUUGAAAAACCCAAGCCAUCAUGCACAUCUCUAGACCCUCCUCCCUCAUAAAUUUGCUUCGGAGUAAAAAUAAUAUUACAUUUACUAUAAGCAAUUCUUUCUUCCUCUACCUGCCUUCCACUACAUACAUACUUCAACUCCCAUGGGCCUCUAGUCUAGUUAUUAUUUAUUGAUUAAUGAAAUAAAGCUUUCCUGGUUACUUUCUAUGGGAUCAAAUACUGUAGUUCUGUUUCCUAGAUGAGCCAUGUUGGAGUUUUAAGAGCCACAUGUUCGGGCCACCCACUGCUGCCGCUUAGCUUAGUCAUCCAGCUACCAUGGUGCAACCUUUUGGCCUAAACUGGAUAAAAACAAUAUUGUGAGCUGUGAGGUGAGAAUAGACUGGAAAUGAGUGGAAAUAAAUGUUAUUUAGGUUAGUAAUACUGUAGGAACAAAAAUGCCCCCAAAUUAUGUUAUUUCAGCAGUUUUUUUUUAUAAAAAAAAAAAUCCAGGUCCAAAGAAACCCCAAAAACAAAACCCGCAAAUGCGGUUUUGGCAAAACCCAGUCCAGAUACAAAACACGAAGGAGAUCCAGAACCAAAACCCAAAAAAUGGCUCGGCAAACAAACCUAGAUUUAGCAAGGUACAGGAGGGAAACAUUCAUCAAAGGAAGAGAAGUAUCAGAGGUGGUAGAGGUUAAUAUAGUACAGAAAUGUAAACAUGCUAUCCUUACAAAGAACUAAGGAUAUGUUAUGGCAAGAGAAAGUGGACUCUUUUGUGGGGCACGCUUAUAAUUAAAACAACUUUUAUUGUGAAUUUAUCUAAAAAACUAGCACAUAUUAGAGAGAAACAGUAUAAAAC